RNAcentral lists this ribosomal RNA (253 nucleotides) under uncultured bacterium. RNAcentral describes it as "partial 16S ribosomal RNA". It matches the Rfam family "Bacterial small subunit ribosomal RNA", at positions 524 to 776 of the family's 1533-position model. The record is from RNAcentral.
UACGUAGGGUGCGAGCGUUAAUCGGAAUUACUGGGCGUAAAGCGUGCGCAGGCGGUUUUGUAAGCCAGAUGUGAAAUCCCCGGGCUUAACCUGGGAAUGGCAUUUGGGACUGCAAGGCUGGAGUUUGGCAGAGGAGACUGGAAUUCCUGGUGUAGCAGUGAAAUGCGUAGAUAUCAGGAGGAAUACCGAUGACGAAGGCAGGUCUCUGGGCUGAAACUGACGCUCAUGCACGAAAGCGUGGGGAGCAAACAGG